RNAcentral lists this ribosomal RNA (484 nucleotides) under uncultured bacterium. RNAcentral's name for it is "partial 16S ribosomal RNA". It matches the Rfam family "Bacterial small subunit ribosomal RNA", at positions 30 to 507 of the family's 1533-position model. The record is from RNAcentral.
AUUGAACGCUGGCGGCAGGCCUAACACAUGCAAGUCGAGCGUAUGAAGGGAUCUUUCUCCUGUAUUCUGCUGCCGACGGGUGUGUAAUUCCUACUUAUCUGCCUUGUAUUUGUGGAUAACUUCCGUUAACGGUCCCUAAUCCCCCAUACGUCCUUAUUUUGAAACUGGUGGUUCUUCGUUCCUCACGCUUUCAGAUGACCCUAGGUCGUAUUAGCUAUUUGGUUGGGUAAAGGCCUACCAAGGCGACGAUCCGUAACUGGUCUGAGAGGAUGAUCAGUCACAAUGGAAAUGAGACAAGGUCCAGAAUACUACGGGAGGCAGCAGUGGGGAAUAUUGGACAAUGGGCGAAAGCCUGAUCAAGCAAUGCCGCGUGUGUGAAGAAGGUAUUAGGAUUGUAAAGCACUUUAAGUAGGGAGGAAGGGAAGUAAGAUAAUAGCUUGAUGUUUUGACGUUACCAAAAGAAUAAGCAACGGCUAACUACGUG